RNAcentral lists this ribosomal RNA (255 nucleotides) under uncultured bacterium. RNAcentral describes it as "partial 16S ribosomal RNA". It matches the Rfam family "Bacterial small subunit ribosomal RNA", at positions 335 to 610 of the family's 1533-position model. The record is from RNAcentral.
ACUCCUACGGGAGGCAGCAGUGGGAAUCUUAGACAAUGGGAACCGUAGCAUCUAGCCAUGCCGCGUGAGCGAUGAAGGCCUUAGGGUUGUAAAGCUCUUUCAGCUGGGAAGAUAAUGACGGUACCAGCAGAAGAAGCCCGCGUACAUCCGUGCCAGCAGCCGCGGUAAUACGGAGGGGCGUAGCGUUGUUCGGAAUUACUGGGCGUAAAGCGCACGUAGGCGGAUUGGUAAGUUGGGGGUGAAAUCCCGGGGCUC